GCCCCCGUAGCUCAGGGGAUAGAGCAUUGGUUUCCGGUACCAAAGGUCGCACGUUCGAAUCGUGUCGGGGGCA
RNAcentral lists this transfer RNA (73 nucleotides) under Corynebacterium sp. TAE3-ERU30. It matches the Rfam family "tRNA". Rfam says of the family: Transfer RNA (tRNA) molecules are approximately 80 nucleotides in length. Their secondary structure includes four short double-helical elements and three loops (D, anti-codon, and T loops). Further hydrogen bonds mediate the characteristic L-shaped molecular structure. tRNAs have two regions of fundamental functional importance: the anti-codon, which is responsible for specific mRNA codon recognition, and the 3' end, to which the tRNAs corresponding amino acid is attached (by aminoacyl-tRNA synthetases). tRNAs cope with the degeneracy of the genetic code in two manners: having more than one tRNA (with a specific anti-codon) for a particular amino acid; and 'wobble' base-pairing, i.e. permitting non-standard base-pairing at the 3rd anti-codon position. Lineage: Bacteria; Bacillati; Actinomycetota; Actinomycetes; Mycobacteriales; Corynebacteriaceae. RNAcentral also lists the same sequence under 1 other name. The record is from Rfam by way of RNAcentral.